CUUACCUUCACACUCUUCAAAAUACCAAGAAAAACAAGAAACACGCUUUAAAAAAUAGUAACUUGAUGACAAACAGAAGUUGAGCUAUAUAAGGUUCCAACUAGCAAAAACUUCUACUUUCUAAUCAUGUCAACCUAGAGAAGUUAAAUCUUAAAUAAAAGUUUUUAUUACUAGACAGGAAACAUGUUAACCUAGAGAAGUUAAAUCUUAAAUUUAGUAAACUAACAGUAGCCAUAACAAUAUACAACAACAAAACUGCAUUGUCACUAAUCAUAAGAAGCAACACCAAACCUUGGUCCCCAAGGUAGAAUUGGUUGCUUGUCAGCAUACUUAAUUUCCUUUGAAACCUGCAUUUAGUUUAAUAAAUGAUAAGAUUUGGAGAUGCAAAGAAAACAAAAAAUUCAAAAAAGUUCAAAAGAUGGCUUCCACAAUAAUCAUUCCUCAUAGGUGUGCUUAAGAUUUUUUUUUAAGCAAACAAGCCAUUUUCUGAACUUUUAAGUGGCCAAUCUCAUAUAUUAGUCCCACAAUAACAAAAACAAAUAGAGAGAUACAAUGGUCCCUUACCACAAGCCAAGGUGACCAAAUUAUUUAAAUGCUUUUUUUUUCAUAAAAAGUACCUACUAGGGAGAUAUUUGUAUAUUCACUACCAUGCUAAGCAUAAAAUCAUUUUUGUGCUACAAUCUGCAUAGAAUUAUCAAUUAUUCUAAGACAGGAAUUGAUAAAUCAUAAUCCUAGCAGCUACUUUGUGAUAUCUAACUCCCCCUGCAUAAUAAUAAUCAUAAGUUCAGCUAUUAAAGCCUACCCUGCUUACAACAAAUCAAUAUCUACUAUUAUCCUAGUCCUAGGCAUUAUUCCUAGAAAAAAAUGGCAUCAUAAAACAAGAAAGCAUAAUAAUCUGACCUAAGUUGAUCACAAAAAAGAAAGUGGAACCAAUUUAACGUAUAAUUCAUAAAACUGAUUGUUCCAUGCAAGGAAAGCAUGUCCAAACUUCCCAUCCCAAAAAAAUACCCAGGUCCUAAUAACAUAAAUAACAAGAAUACAAGCAAAGACAAUUUUAAUCAAGAACUGCAACAUUAGAAAAGGAAAAUGCAAGUUGGUAAAUGAGAUCUUACUUGGUAGGAAAACCAGUAAUCGAGCAAAUAGGUUGUUCUGGAUCUGAAACAAAGUAUAAAUAUCAUUAAAAAUAAAACAAAAUUUUUAAAAUAAUGUUACUUGGAGACAUGUUUUGCAUGAUUAUAAAAAACAGUGGAACUGAGUUUUGGUGUUUGAACUUGGGAGAGCUAGCUAAUGAACAUUAGAAAUUUCUUUGGAAAUCCUGUAAUAGUACAUGUUGAUUCAAUUUUUGUUUCAAGGGAAUGAGUAAUUCAUAUGAUAGAGAUGGUUUAUUAAGCAAACUGCUGACUCUGAAGCCAUCUUUUGACAGUGAUGAAAAUCUGCAGCAUGACCUUUACCUUAUUUCCUUAAUGGAUGACUAAGGAUGGGUUCCCAUAUAUUGAUAGUGUGUAGGUAUACUAGUACCCUGAAUAGUAAUAUAAAACAUAGAUAAUUGAUACUGACCACAAUAAAAAUAUUACUUCAUGAACUAUUGUUAUCCCUAUAUAUCAAUUUUUAUCAACCUGAUACAUCAAAACAAGGUCAACUUUAACAAUUAAUUUGCAAUUUUAUACUUGUGUAUCUAGAUAACAUGAGAUUUAACAGACUUCUCUUUCAUGUUGUAAUAUUUUUUUUACCUUCAUUUUCAUUGCUAAUUUACACCAGCAUCGUGUUCACAUUCUACCAAAUGGGUGAAAGAGAAGGAUAAAGAGCACGAAGAAUUUGCUUGGUUGAAUGAAUUGAAAACAUAUUUGGACAAAUUGUAAGGCUUUUAGAGUUAUAAGUUUUCGUAAAACCCUUUCACUUGCACCACCUAACUAUACUCUACAUAGAUCGUGAAACCUCCUUUGUGUUAUGAUAAAGCAAUUAUAAUACAAUAAUAUGCUAAAAGUUUCUAUUGGCUGCAUUUCUUAGGGUCAUUUACUGAACUAAAUAGAUGAUACAACUAUCAAAUGCUAUUGUGUCUCGAUUUUAUUGUUGAUAAAAAAAAAAUAUUGUAAUAGGCUCUAGGGGGACACAUGAAUGUGCACAUGAGGGACAGGGCUAGGCUCAAACAAAGCCUUAGUCACCAUAAUGAAUCCCUUCAAGAUCUUCACAAAAAAAGAUUGUAAGUCAUAGAGUGCUCAAUUUUCUGAAGUGAUGGAACUUCUCUCAUCAAGAUAUUGUUGCCUUAAUCCUUAUUUACUCUAAUCUUUCUGGUCCAGUUGCAACAAGCAAAGUCUCGUCUUCUAGGCCCUCAACUAUAUCCACUCAAGAAAAUUAAGAAACUAUUGUAAAAGGGUAUGAAUGAGAAUAAUAAGAAUGAAAUUUUUCUUGAAUUAUUAGUUUGGUUACUGCAUGCACUUCACCAUUUGAAAGCAAAUGACAAAUAUUGAAAAUACAACACAUAGUACCUACCAUCAACAACAUAUGCAAAUUUUACCAUCUCAAAUGUGAUAAUUAGAUUUUUAAGAUAUACAUUGUAAGAAUGAACGCAUUUCAUCUAUCAUGAAGAGCAACAACACAGACUCUAUGGUUCAAUAUUUUCAUUUAUUAAUUCCUGUACUUUACUAAAACUGUACAACACAAUAAAUUUGACUAAUGUAGAGACAAUAGUAAAUACUGGUGAAACCUCUGUUUUCGCCCAAGAACCACAAAUUUUUCUUCUCCUUUUCUUCCACCACGUUACCAAAUUUGAUUUUACCUUUUCUCUCUUCAUAUUUUUUUUUCUUAUAUUCUUCACUUCAAAAGUCUGACACUUUCUAUAGCUGCCACUCAAUUUCUCUUUGUUUUUUUUUUAUUUUAUUCUCAUAAUUUCCUUCACUCAUCCCAUAAUCAUAGUAUUCCCAGUCGGUUUUUUCUCUUCUCCAUUCUCUCUGCUUUUUCCUUCACCGACUACUAGUUUCUGCUAGCUUCACCAAACUCAAGGUUUGUACUUUUUCUUCCUUUUAAAUUAUUCUAAUUUUACUUCUCUGAACUUUCUGUUCCUUUUUUUUCUACUAUUUCUUCUAUUUUAUUUUCCAUCAUGAAGAAUACGCUUUUGGAGAAGCCAAGGUUCUUUUAUUUUUAUUUGUCAAUGUAUGUGUAGUCCACUAAUGAUGGUCAUCCAUGCAUGCCUAUCAGUGUUUAGCUAAUAGCAUAAAUGUCAAAAUGCAGUAAUAACCGAAGGGUAUGCUACGCACACCUCAUACAUUAAGCUAGCCAUGCAUCAAACCACCACUCCACAACCACAAUAUUUCAUCCCCAAGCAUCUCCAAGCUUAAGACCAACUUUAAAAUAUUCCAGUGAACCAUCAUUCUUUACUUUUUUAUUAUGGUAGGUGCUAGAAUCUGCAUUUGAAAUUGAACAAAUUAGGGACUGACUAGCACGUAGAUACCAACGUGUGACACCUCACUCAAACUAAUGCUAUCUUGUCAUUAUGUUAGCCACCGAUGAGGUCCACCUAAAUUUCAAGAAACAUCCAAUUAGCACUUACUUGGUUCAAUCAACAGACCUUGCUUGCCAAAAAGUGGUGGGACCGUAGAUGUAUUCAUAUAAGUUAGCCAUUUUCCAUUUCUUCCAUGACAGCUCCAUAUGAAAAAGAGUAAGUGCCCUGGUUGCUCAUCACCGAGCUCAAUCUUUUAGUCUCCAGUUUAAAUAACAAAGCGAAGCUGAGCUGAUUUUUCUUUGCGCAAGACAUCAUCCAAAUAAAUGUGUUGGUCUUUUCAGAAUCAGAACAAUCCCCUGAGUGGAAUAACUCAAAGCCUCUAUUACAUAAAGAUUUGAUCAGUGUUUAGCUUCCUUCACCAGUUCCCACAUCAACACAUCAAACCAGCUCCCCCACCAGACCUCAAACUAUGCUAAUAUAUUUCCUAGCUUUCAUACGCUCAACUGUAUAUAGGAAACACCACUGGAUUCCAACUUUAGAGCUCCCUCCUCGUCACCUAACCACUUGAACAGAGUUAAGUGCUAGACAUGAGCACGAACUAAGAUCCAAUUCACCCUUGUCUUAAAAUAACAAGCCACUCACAAGUCACGAUGCUACACAACUUGGACUACUUCUUUAUUCGGUCUCUGUCAAUGAAUUAACCAUACCUAAUCUUGUUCAGAUACCUCAUGUUAUUAAAUACUCACAAGCCAUUUUCUAUUUUACUUUUUAGUCUACAAAAAAUAUGAUCAACAUCAAACACAGGAUGCAACAUCGCAGACUCAUUUGAAAACAAUAUUGUCAAAUUACUGAAGUUGGAGGGAACCCUAUAUAGACUAAGAAAAGCAGAGGUUAAAAUAUGGACACAGGAAAGAAAAGCAGAGGUUAAAAUAUGGACACAGGAUUAAAAUAAAUGCUCUCAAUGCUCUCAUCCAUAGAGACCUCCGCCUCUUUUACAGAAUAAAAUCAGCACUAACCUUCUGUCACCAGGUUGGAGGAAUCACAAGUGUUGCCCCCAAACUUCUAGCAACAAUCACUGCAUCUGCUAUCUGAUAACCAUCAUUGGAGUAUUAGAGAAUAAGGAUAUAAUCAACAGAAACUAUCGAAAGAACUAUCAGCAACACGCAAUCCGAAAUCGAGAAGCUAAGGUUGAGAACACAUAAAGAUUAAGAAAGAAGAAGGGAAACUCACCGUGAGUACGAAACGGUCAAUCGCUCAAGCUCAAUCGCUCAAAUGGUCAUGGUCACGUUCCACUGCUCAAUCGCUCAAAUGCUCAUGGUCACGUUCCACUGCUCAAUCGCUCAAAUGCUCCACUACUCAAUCACAUUCCACUGCUUAAAUGUUCUCAAUCGUUCAAGCUCAAUCGCUCAAUAUCUCACUGCUCAAUCGCUCAAUAUCUCAGUGCUCAAUCGCUCAAAUGCUCCACUGCUCACGAUCACGUCCACUGCUCAGUCGCUCAAAUGCUCAAGCUCACAUUCAAAAUGAGUUUACUCCCAAAAAU
Molecule: long non-coding RNA, 4979 nt
Filed under: Phaseolus vulgaris (common bean)
Lineage: Eukaryota; Viridiplantae; Streptophyta; Magnoliopsida; Fabales; Fabaceae
Description: long non-coding RNA (PVUL_LNC004023)
Source: RNAcentral